UACGUAGGGUGCAAGCGUUGUCCGGAAUUAUUGGUCGUAAAGAGCUCGUAGGCGGUUUGUCGCGUCUGCUGUGAAAACUCGGGGCUUAACCCCGGGCCUGCAGUGGGUACGGGCAGACUAGAGUGCGGUAGGGGAGACUGGAAUUCCUGGUGUAGCGGUGAAAUGCGCAGAUAUCAGGAGGAACACCGGUGGCGAAGGCGGGUCUCUGGGCCGUAACUGACGCUGAGGAGCGAAAGCGUGGGGAGCGAACAGG
This 253-nucleotide ribosomal RNA is filed under the name uncultured bacterium. RNAcentral describes it as "partial 16S ribosomal RNA". It matches the Rfam family "Bacterial small subunit ribosomal RNA", at positions 524 to 776 of the family's 1533-position model. The record is from RNAcentral.